GCUCUAUCCCCUAACUCCAAGUGGCCAGAGGGCUACUGAUGAGCAAAUUUAAGUUACACCCUUUCUGAGUACAAAGUCCGGGGUUAUGGAGAAGACCUUCAUUGAUAAACUAAGUCUAAUUUUGUAAUGAGUAAUAUGAAAGAUUGGCCUUGAUCCAUUCUGGCUUAUGGAUGAGGGAACAUGUGUUAUUUCUUGUGUAUCCAAAGACUUUUCCGUAGUGUCCUGUUGCAUUUUUGGAUUAUGAAGAAAUGGUCUUCUCAUAGCCAUAUGAGACUUAUAGAACAGGGAUUUCUCCAUUAUCACUUGGCUCAGACUCUGGAACCAGUGAAGGAUACUCCUUCUUUUUACCCCAUGGUUUCAUGAUGUACAAAUGAGACAGGUGAAUGGUAACUAUGGACCAGAAAGGGGUAUGUUCUACAACUUGAAAGAUACUGAACAUAACAGGCAUUUCUGCAAAGUGAAGACUUCACAGAGGAGUAGCUUCUCUGGCUUAAACAAGGCAUCUUUGUUAAGAUAUAAUCAACCACACAGCCAUGACUUCACCUUUAUGAGAAAGAGAAAUACUUGGAAAGGCAGGAUUUUCCAACUACAUGGCGGUUCAGAGCAUAGUUACUGCUGUUAGCUAAAUUGGAUUGCUCUCAUCCAUUUGCUACUGACAUGCUGUGUGACCCAGGAUCAGUCACAAAGUUCUCUAAGCCUUAUUCUUAUCUGGGGAAUGCAAAUACACAGAGUACCUACCUAGAAGAUUUCUGGAAAGGAUAAAAUUAGAUCAUUUGUGGAAAAAAAAAAAAGCUCAGCAUAUCAGUAAUGUUCAAAAACAUUAGCUGUUAGUAUUAUACUCCCCAAACAGCCUUUGUCAGGCUACGUGUGUUAAAGAAAAUGGGAGAAUCAUUCAUCAUAACCACAGAGACUGUGGUCGAGUUUUGAGAAGCCUUUGAUGUGGCUGGCUGUCCAGUUUUCUCAGCACCAUUUAUUGAAGAGACUUUCACCCCCUUGUAUAUUCUUGCCUCGUACAUCAACUAUACUUCAAUUAGAAAAAAUAAAUAAAUAAAAUUCCCAACA
This 1062-nucleotide long non-coding RNA is filed under the name Vulpes vulpes (red fox). RNAcentral's name for it is "lncRNA (ENSVVUG00000029229.1)". The record is from RNAcentral. Lineage: Eukaryota; Metazoa; Chordata; Mammalia; Carnivora; Canidae.